Molecule: non-coding RNA, 100 nt
Filed under: Desulfosporosinus sp.
Lineage: Bacteria; Bacillati; Bacillota; Clostridia; Eubacteriales; Desulfitobacteriaceae
Also listed under: 1 other name
Description: SAM-I sequence
Rfam family: SAM riboswitch aptamer (S box leader)
About the family: The SAM riboswitch is found upstream of a number of genes which code for proteins involved in methionine or cysteine biosynthesis in Gram-positive bacteria. The SAM riboswitch acts at the level of transcription termination control. The predicted structure consists of a complex stem-loop region followed by a single stem loop terminator region.
Source: RNAcentral
CUCUUAUUCAGAGUAGGUGGAGGGACUGGCCCGAUGAAACCCGGCAACCGGCAUUUUGUGCACGGUGCUAACUCCUGCAGAGAAAUCUGGGAAAUAAGAG